Long non-coding RNA from Microplitis demolitor, 641 nucleotides. RefSeq lists it as uncharacterized. The record is from RefSeq and is a predicted model, not a curated record. The transcript is spliced from 4 exons. Lineage: Eukaryota; Metazoa; Arthropoda; Insecta; Hymenoptera; Braconidae.
CAGCAUCUUCUUAUCACUCUAAUAAUUUCUUUAACAUACUAAAAGUCAAAAUGUCGAAAAUAAUUUUAUUAUUAUCAAUUUUUGUAUUUGUUUGCCUUUAUGCCAAUGCAGUUGAAGGAUGUAGAGGCAAUCCGUGCGAACAUGGUAGUGAUUGCUGUCCACAUCACGUGUGUGUUAAAUUUAAGCUCCCAUAUGUUUGCUUACCUACUACAGGAUCAUUAGCCUUCACAGUAUCCGGUUAAUCAGCCACUUAACGCUGUUGAUUGAUGCGACUCUGGACCGUAUCAACAGCUGCAGCAAUAAAAAAAAAUUAAUUCAAAAAAUAACUAAAUAAAGAUGACCAUAAUAUCCGUUUUACUUUUAGAUAUAUCAUCAGAUAUACUUACCAUUGUAUCAUAAGAUGUUUUGAAAAAAAAAAAUUCUUCUGGAAACAACUAAAUUUGGUGUCACUCACGUUUACUUCUACUCCUUAUCCUGUAACACAGCGGAAACUUUCGGCUUAUAAUAAAAAUAAUCUAUAUCAUAAUUAUUAACUUUUGCAUCAACAUUUGUUUAUAUCAUUAAUAUUAUUGUUAUUAGCUUAUGUUACAAUAAAAUUUUAGAAAUUAUAGAGAGAUUAAACUUCGAUCUGUUAAUAAUAA